AUUGAACGCUGGCGGCAUGCCUUACACAUGCAAGUCGAACGGUAACAGGUCUUCGGAUGCUGGCGAGUGGCGCACGGGUGAGUAAUACAUCGGAACGUGCCCAGACGUGGGGGAUAACGAGGCGAAAGCUUUGCUAAUACCGCAUACGAUCUAAGGAUGAAAGCAGGGGACCGCAAGGCCUUGCGCGUUUGGAGCGGCCGAUGGCAGAUUAGGUAGUUGGUGGGAUAAAAGCUUACCAAGCCGACGAUCUGUAGCUGGUCUGAGAGGACGACCAGCCACACUGGGACUGAGACACGGCCCAGACUCCUACGGGAGGCAGCAGUGGGGAAUUUUGGACAAUGGGCGAAAGCCUGAUCCAGCAAUGCCGCGUGCAGGAUGAAGGCCUUCGGGUUGUAAACUGCUUUUGUACGGAACGAAAAGGCUCUGGCUAAUACCUGGGGCACAUGACGGUACCGUAAGAAUAAGCACCGGCUAACUACGU
RNAcentral lists this ribosomal RNA (481 nucleotides) under uncultured bacterium. RNAcentral describes it as "partial 16S ribosomal RNA". It matches the Rfam family "Bacterial small subunit ribosomal RNA", at positions 30 to 506 of the family's 1533-position model. The record is from RNAcentral.